Molecule: long non-coding RNA, 706 nt
Filed under: Physcomitrium patens
Lineage: Eukaryota; Viridiplantae; Streptophyta; Bryopsida; Funariales; Funariaceae
Description: long non-coding RNA (PPAT_LNC002476)
Source: RNAcentral
AAAAGUUGAAAGAAAAUCCACAAUAAACCUUAAAAGAAUCCUUAAGAAGUUCUAAAAAAUAUUAAAAUAAUUAAAAAUACAUCUUAAAUAAAUCUCAACUAAGUUCUAAUUUAAUUCUAGGUGAAACUCUAAUAGACUUCAAUCAAACCUUAGACAAAUCUUAAAUUCUAAAUCAAAUCUUAGAUUAAAUUUUAGAUCCCAAACCAAAUCUUAAAUCAAAUCUUAGAUAAAUUCUAAAUCCUAAAUCAAACCCUAGAUAAAUCCUAGAUCCUAAAUUAAACCAUAAAAAAAUCCUAAAUUCUAAUUCAAAUCUUAAAUCAAAUUCUAAAUAAAUUCUAAAUUAAACCUUAAACAAAUUCUAAAUCCUAAAUCAAAUCUUGGACAAAUUCUAAAAUCUAAACCAAACCCUAGAUCAAACCUUACAUCAAAUCUUACAUCCUAAAUCAAAUCCUAGAUCAAAUCCUAUAUCAAACCCUAGAUCCUAAACCAAAUCCUAACUCUACUCAAUUUAAUACUAGUGUAGUUUAGAACCUCAAUAUCUAUCAAUUGAAGUGUUGAUCUUGCUUAAAAAAUUUAUACACCUUUUAAUAACUAAAUUGGCAACUAGAAAAUAAAAUUUGAAGAUAAUUGCACUUAUCAAAUUGAAGAAAAAUCCUAAUUUCUACUCAAGUAUAGGCUAGCCUUCUAUUCCAAUCUAAAUAUAGAA